Molecule: ribosomal RNA, 282 nt
Filed under: uncultured bacterium
Lineage: Bacteria
Description: partial 16S ribosomal RNA
Rfam family: Bacterial small subunit ribosomal RNA
Source: RNAcentral
AUUGAACGCUGGCGGCAUGCCUAACACAUGCAAGUCGAACGGGGUGUAGCAAUACAUCUAGUGGCGGACGGGUGAGGAAUACAUAGGAAUUUGCCCUUAAGUGGGGGAGUAGUCCGGGGAAACGUACGGUUUAAUACCGCAUGAUCUCGUGAGAGCAAAGACAGGGGACCGGCAAGGCCUUGCGCUUUUGGUAGAAGCCUAUGUCGGAUUAGCUAGUUGGUAGGGUAAUGGCCUACCAAGGCAACGAUCCGUAACUGGUCUGAGAGGAUGAUCAGUCACACC